This 373-nucleotide ribosomal RNA is filed under the name uncultured organism. RNAcentral describes it as "partial 16S ribosomal RNA". It matches the Rfam family "Bacterial small subunit ribosomal RNA", at positions 527 to 896 of the family's 1533-position model. The record is from RNAcentral.
GUAGGUGGCAAGCGUUGUCCGGAAUUAUUGGGCGUAAAGCGCGCGCAGGCGGUUCUUUAAGUCUGAUGUGAAAGCCCACGGGCUCAACCGUGGAGGGUCAUUGGAAACUGGAGAACUUGAGUACAGAAGAGGAAAGCGGAAUUCCACGUGUAGCGGUGAAAUGCGUAGAGAUGUGGAGGAACUCCAGUGGCGAAGGCGGCUUUCUGGUCUGUAACUGACGCUGAGGCGCGAAAGCGUGGGGAGCAAACAGGAUUAGAUACCCUGGUAGUCCACGCCGUAAACGAUGAGUGCUAAGUGUUAGGGGGUUUCCGCCCCUUAGUGCUGCAGCUAACGCAUUAAGCACUCCGCCUGGGGAGUACGGCCGCAAAGGCUG